AUUGAACGCUGGCGGCAGGCCUAACACAUGCAAGUCGAACGGUAGCACAGAGAGCUUGCUCUCGGGUGACGAGUGGCGGACGGGUGAGUAACGUCUGGGAAACUGCCCGAUGGAGGGGGAUAACUACUGGAAACGGUAGCUAAUACCGCAUUACGUCGCAAGACCAAAGUGGGGGACCUUCGGGCCUCACACCAUCGGAUGCGCCCAGAUGGGAUUAGCUAGUAGGUGGGUAAUGGCUCACCUAGGCGACGAUCCCUAGCUGGUCUGAGAGGAUGACCAGCCACACUGGAACUGAGACACGGUCCAGACUCCUACGGGAGGCAGCAGUGGGGAAUAUUGCACAAUGGGCGCAAGCCUGAUGCAGCCAUGCCGCGUGUAUGAAGAAGGCCUUCGGGUUGUAAAGUACUUUCAGCGGGGAGGAAGGCGGUGAAGUUAAUAGCUUCACCGAUUGACGUUACCCGCAGAAGAAGCACCGGCUAACUCCGUGCCAGCAGCCGCAGUAA
RNAcentral lists this ribosomal RNA (503 nucleotides) under uncultured bacterium. RNAcentral's name for it is "partial 16S ribosomal RNA". It matches the Rfam family "Bacterial small subunit ribosomal RNA", at positions 30 to 523 of the family's 1533-position model. The record is from RNAcentral.